Molecule: long non-coding RNA, 919 nt
Filed under: Lathyrus oleraceus (garden pea)
Lineage: Eukaryota; Viridiplantae; Streptophyta; Magnoliopsida; Fabales; Fabaceae
Description: Pisum sativum (pea) long non-coding RNA (PSAT_LNC032301)
Source: RNAcentral
AACAUAAAACCGCAGUGCUUAGAAUUUUGUGUUCUAAUAGUGUUUAAACAUACACUAAUAUUUAUUCCUCUAAUAUAUAUCUUAACAAACUUAUGCAAAUUCUGCCAACAUUAUGAUGUACAAAUAAAAUCAUAUGUUAAGAAGGAACAUAAAAGUAUUUGUCUUCUUGAUUGUUAUGCUUACCCACAUUCACAAUAGAAAUCAACACAUUUCCUACGUUGAGGACGGAAACACAGAUUUUUUGGACAAUGCCACCAAUGUUUGCAAAGAAAAUAACCUGAUAUGUAAAAAAAGAACAUACAAAAUAUUACUAAACGGUAACGAAAUUGUGUGCGCAGAUAACUAAGAUUAUUUGAAAUGGCAUUAAAAAAGACUUGCCUCCAUAGAUUUCAACAAAUAGAGAAAGAAAGAUUAUCAAACCAUAAACAAUUUUGGGAAUUUGAGUCAUAUUUUUCUAAUUUGCAUGAAGAAAAUAGAAAUAUGUUUGAUCAUUUUUAAGUUUCAUACUUUGUUAAAUUUAAAUAUAGAAAUUUUACCCUUUAGAAAUUGCAAGAAGCCAUUUAUAAAAAUGGAAUUAUCAAUAAAUGCCCUAAAGUAUACCACUGUAUUGCAUUAUCUUUUUAAAUUUCUUUUUAUAUAGUUUUUAGAAUAUUUCUCUUUUAACCUUUGAUGAUAAAUAAGGGGAAAAAAGUCUCCUAAUAGAAAUAGUAAUGAUGAAACUAAAAAUAAUUGAUUGUAGAGAAAAUGCAUCAAAAGUCCCUUUGAUGUUAAGUGAACAUUUAUUUUUAAUUAAAAUUUUUAUAGGAUGAUUUUUUGUUCAAACAAUUAUAUGAUCAAAGCUAGUAUCGAAGAUGUAAUGUAUGAGUGUGAAUUGUGUUCAAUUAAAAAACUUUUUGCUAUAUUUUAUUUUUUGAGGGUA